Molecule: ribosomal RNA, 393 nt
Filed under: uncultured bacterium
Lineage: Bacteria
Description: partial 16S ribosomal RNA
Rfam family: Bacterial small subunit ribosomal RNA
Source: RNAcentral
AUACGGAGGAUCCGAGCGUUAUCCGGAUUUAUUGGGUUUAAAGGGUGCGCAGGCGGCCAUUUAAGUCAGCGGUUAAAUCGUGGGGCUCAACCCCAUUCUGCCGUUGAUACUGGGUGGCUUGAUUGCGGUCGAGGUUGGCGGAAUUCGUUGUGUAGCGGUGAAAUGCAUAGAUAUGACGAAGAACACCGAUUGCGUAGGCAGCUGACCAGACCGCAAAUGACGCUCAUGCACGAAAGUGCGGUGAUCGAACAGGAUUAGAUACCCUGGUAGUCCGCACAGUAAACGAUGAUAACUAGUUGUUGGCGAUAAACAGAUCAGUAACUGAGCGAAAGCGUUAAGUUAUCCACCUGGGGAGUACGACCGCAAGGUUGAAACUCAAAUGAAUUGACGGGG